This 631-nucleotide ribosomal RNA is filed under the name uncultured Lachnospiraceae bacterium. Its description in RNAcentral is "bacterial SSU rRNA". It matches the Rfam family "Bacterial small subunit ribosomal RNA", at positions 67 to 714 of the family's 1533-position model. The record is from RNAcentral. Lineage: Bacteria; Bacillati; Bacillota; Clostridia; Lachnospirales; Lachnospiraceae.
UUGAAACUUCGGUAGAUUUAAUUUAUUUCUAGUGGCGGACGGGUGAGUAACGCGUGGGUAACCUGCCUUAUACUGGGGGAUAACAGCCAGAAAUGGCUGCUAAUACCGCAUAAGCGCACAGGACCGCAUGGUCCGGUGUGAAAAACUCCGGUGGUAUAAGAUGGACCCGCGUUGGAUUAGCUGGUUGGCAGGGCAGCGGCCUACCAAGGCGACGAUCCAUAGCCGGCCUGAGAGGGUGAACGGCCACAUUGGGACUGAGACACGGCCCAGACUUCUACGGGAGGCAGCAGUGGGGAAUAUUGCACAAUGGGGGAAACCCUGAUGCAGCGACGCCGCGUGAAGGAAGAAGUAUCUCGGUAUGUAAACUUCUAUCAGCAGGGAAGAUAAUGACGGUACCUGACUAAGAAGCCCCGGCUAACUACGUGCCAGCAGCCGCGGUAAUACGUAGGGGGCAAGCGUUAUCCGGAUUUACUGGGUGUAAAGGGAGCGUAGACGGCGCAGCAAGUCUGAUGUGAAAGGCAGGGGCUUAACCCCUGGACUGCAUUGGAAACUGUUGAGCUUGAGUGCCGGAGGGGUAAGCGGAAUUCCUAGUGUAGCGGUGAUAUGCGUAGAUAUUAGGAGGACACCAGUG